CUGGAGACAGGUGCUGCAUGGCUGUCGUCAGCUCGUGUCGUGAGAUGUUGGGUUAAGUCCCGCAACGAGCGCAACCCUUGCCUUUAGUUGCCAGCAGUUCGGCUGGGCACUCUAAAGGGACUGCCGGUGUUAAACCGGAGGAAGGUGGGGAUGACGUCAAGUCCUCAUGGCCUUUAUGACCAGGGCUACACACGUACUACAAUGGCCGAUACAAAGGGCAGCGACACUGCGAGGUGAAGCCAAUCCCGUAAAAUCGGCCUCAGUCCGGAUUGGAGUCUGCAACUCGACUCCAUGAAGUUGGAAUCGCUAGUAAUCGUGGAUCAGCAUGCCACGGUGAAUACGUUCCCGGGCCUU
RNAcentral lists this ribosomal RNA (354 nucleotides) under uncultured Desulfobulbus sp. RNAcentral's name for it is "bacterial SSU rRNA". It matches the Rfam family "Bacterial small subunit ribosomal RNA", at positions 1028 to 1382 of the family's 1533-position model. Lineage: Bacteria; Pseudomonadati; Thermodesulfobacteriota; Desulfobulbia; Desulfobulbales; Desulfobulbaceae. The record is from RNAcentral.